UGUGCACACCUGAACCACAGCCGCGCUGCUUGUGAGCGCUUGGCUGAGGGCGCAGGAGGCACUUGGCUAACCCAAAGUGACAUGUGCCUGGCGGGACAUUCCGUCUGUACAAA
This is a long non-coding RNA of Camelus ferus (Wild Bactrian camel), 113 nucleotides long. It matches the Rfam family "TTC28 antisense RNA 1 conserved region 4". The record is from Rfam. Lineage: Eukaryota; Metazoa; Chordata; Mammalia; Artiodactyla; Camelidae.